UGGGGGGGGGGGGGGGUCCUCAGCGAGGAUUGCAAGGGCGCAGGCCAGGCUGAGGGACCCCACCAGUGUAUG
This 72-nucleotide microRNA precursor is filed under the name Myotis brandtii (Brandt's bat). Its description in RNAcentral is "mir-9193 microRNA precursor family". It matches the Rfam family "mir-9193 microRNA precursor family". Lineage: Eukaryota; Metazoa; Chordata; Mammalia; Chiroptera; Vespertilionidae. The record is from Rfam by way of RNAcentral.